AGUGAACGCUGGCGGUAGGCCUAACACAUGCAAGUCGAACGGCAGCACAGUAAGAGCUUGCUCUUACGGGUGGCGAGUGGCGGACGGGUGAGGAAUACAUCGGAAUCUACUUUUUCGUGGGGGAUAACGUAGGGAAACUUACGCUAAUACCGCAUACGACCUACGGGUGAAAGCAGGGGAUCUUCGGACCUUGCGCGAUUGAAUGAGCCGAUGUCGGAUUAGCUAGUUGGCGGGGUAAAGGCCCACCAAGGCGACGAUCCGUAGCUGGUCUGAGAGGAUGAUCGGCCGCACUGGAACUGAGACACGGUCCAGGCUCCUACGGGAGGCAGCAGUGGGGAAUAUUGGACAAUGGGCGCAAGCCUGAUCCAGCCAUACCGCGUGGGUGAAGAAGGCCUUCGGGUUGUAAAGCCCUUUUGUUGGGAAAGAAAAGCAGCAGGUUAAUACCCCGCUGUUCUGACGGUACCCAAAGAAUAAGCACCGGCUAACUUCGUG
RNAcentral lists this ribosomal RNA (492 nucleotides) under uncultured bacterium. Its description in RNAcentral is "partial 16S ribosomal RNA". It matches the Rfam family "Bacterial small subunit ribosomal RNA", at positions 29 to 507 of the family's 1533-position model. The record is from RNAcentral.